Molecule: transfer RNA, 72 nt
Filed under: Felis catus (domestic cat)
Lineage: Eukaryota; Metazoa; Chordata; Mammalia; Carnivora; Felidae
Rfam family: tRNA
About the family: Transfer RNA (tRNA) molecules are approximately 80 nucleotides in length. Their secondary structure includes four short double-helical elements and three loops (D, anti-codon, and T loops). Further hydrogen bonds mediate the characteristic L-shaped molecular structure. tRNAs have two regions of fundamental functional importance: the anti-codon, which is responsible for specific mRNA codon recognition, and the 3' end, to which the tRNAs corresponding amino acid is attached (by aminoacyl-tRNA synthetases). tRNAs cope with the degeneracy of the genetic code in two manners: having more than one tRNA (with a specific anti-codon) for a particular amino acid; and 'wobble' base-pairing, i.e. permitting non-standard base-pairing at the 3rd anti-codon position.
Source: Rfam by way of RNAcentral
GCCUGACUGGCUUAGUCGUAGAACAUGCGACUGUGGAUCUCAGGGUAAUGGGUUCAAGCCCCAUGUUGGGUG